GUCUCAAUGUGGGUAUAAAUGUGUAUAUAUGCAUUUUUGAGAGAAUAUUGUAUAUAACUAAAAUGUAUAUAUUUGUUUUCAAAUACUUCCAUGCAUAUUUUCUCACUAGAUAAGAAACCUGUUAGGCCUGUGUUACAAGUUGCAAAGAACCCUCAGGUUGAAAGCACUAAGGACCCAUGGUCGGGCUCUUAGGUUGCAUGGCUUAUCCUGUUACUAACAGUACGCAGUGACCUGAUUUGUCAGCAGGUAUUGACACAAAAGCUCCAUCUCUCAGUCACUGGGGAGGCAGAGAAGAGGAAAAAGGUCACCUCAUUGCUACUGACAUAGUAUGGCACUGGCAACACCGUCAGUUGGUGAUGGAAGAUAGAUUUUUCCACCCUUACAUUCUCCUUGUCUUUUACAGUUCACUACCUAAGCCUGCUUGGACCUCUACAUGUGUUUAAUCCUUCCAGCAGAGGACAAUCACUCCAGAACCAUGGGAAAUGCAAUCAGACAAGGCACCCAAGAGGUGGAGAGCAGAAAAUCUUUAUCCCUGAUGGCUUCCUCUUUGAGAUCCUGUGACAUCCACAACUUACAGAAACUGUAUUCCAUGUCUUCCUUCCAGAUGCCAUCUUGGAGUGCCUGUGUCUCAGUCCAACUCUGCUCCUGCUAAUGAGCACCCUGGGAGGCAGCAAGUGAUGGAUCAAGUAGUUGUAUCCUUGCCACCCAUGUGAGAUCCCGGGACUGAAUUAUUGGCUUCUGGAUUCUGUCUGCCACAGCCCUGGCUGUUGCAGGUAUUUGGGGAGUAAAUGAGCAAAUGGGAGAUUUCUGACUUUCUGGCUCUCUGUCUUACAAAUCAAUAAAUUAAAUUUGAAAGUAAUUAAAAUAAACA
RNAcentral lists this long non-coding RNA (871 nucleotides) under Oryctolagus cuniculus (rabbit). RNAcentral's name for it is "lncRNA (ENSOCUG00000034701.1)". The record is from RNAcentral. Lineage: Eukaryota; Metazoa; Chordata; Mammalia; Lagomorpha; Leporidae.